Molecule: ribosomal RNA, 376 nt
Filed under: uncultured bacterium
Lineage: Bacteria
Description: bacterial SSU rRNA
Rfam family: Bacterial small subunit ribosomal RNA
Source: RNAcentral
GACGAACGCUGGCGGCGUGCUUAAUACAUGCAAGUCAACGACUUUUAAGAUAGCAAUAUUUUAAGGGAGUGGCGCACGGUGAGUAACACGUAGGCAAUCUACCUUUAGGACUGACACAACUCGUCGAAAGACGGGCUAAUAUCAGAUAAUGCAGCGGCUCCGCAUGGAGACAGUUGUUAAAGUACAAGCGCCUGAAGAUGAGCCUGCGGUCCAUUAGCUAGUUGGUAGAGUAACGGCCUACCAAGGCAACGGUGGAUAGCUGGUCUGAGAGGAUGAUCAGCCACACUGGAACUGAGACACGGUCCAGACUCCUACGGAGGCAGCAGUAAGGAAUAUUGCUCAAAUGGCCGAAAGGACUGAAGCAGCAACGCCGCGU